RNAcentral lists this ribosomal RNA (806 nucleotides) under uncultured bacterium. RNAcentral's name for it is "bacterial SSU rRNA". It matches the Rfam family "Bacterial small subunit ribosomal RNA", at positions 231 to 1026 of the family's 1533-position model. The record is from RNAcentral.
CGAUAUCGGAUUAGCUAGUUGGUGGGGUAAUGGCCUACCAAGGCCGCGAUCCGUAGCUGGUUUGAGAGGACGACCAGCCACACUGGGACUGAGACACGGCCCAGACUCCUACGGGAGGCAGCAGUGGGGAAUUUUGGACAAUGGGGGGAACCCUGAUCCAGCCAUCCCGCGUGUGCGAUGAAGGCCUUCGGGUUGUAAAGCACUUUUGUCAGGGAAGAAAAGACUAUCGAUAAUACCGAUGGUCGAUGACGGUACCUGAAGAAUAAGCACCGGCUAACUACGUGCCAGCAGCCGCGGUAAUACGUAGGGGGCAAGCGUUAAUCGGAAUUACUGGGCGUAAAGCGUGCGCAGGCGGUUCGGAAAGAAGGAUGUGAAAUCCCAGGGCUCAGCCUUGGAACUGCAUUCUUAACUACCGGACUAGAGUAUGUCAGAGGGGGGUAGAAUUCCGCGUGUAGCAGUGAAAUGCGUAGAUAUGCGGAGGAAUACCGAUGGCGAAAGCAGCCCCCUGGGAUAAUACUGACGCUCAUGCACGAAAGCGUGGGUAGCAAACAGGAUUAGAUACCCUGGUAGUCCACGCCCUAAACGAUGUCAACUAUCUGUUGGGCCCUUCGGGGCUUAGUAGCGUACCUAACGCGUGAAGUUGACCGCCUGGGGAGUACGGUCGCAAGAUUAAAACCCAAAGGAUUUGACGGGGACCCGCACAAGCGGUGGAUGAUGUGAGAUUAAUUCCGAUGCACCGCGAAAAAACCUUAACUACCCUUUGACGUGUCUGGAAUCCUUUAGAGAUAGAGGAGUGCUCGCAGGAA